AUGGGCGGGAUGGGGUAUACUUGUGACCUUUGCACACCCGCAAGGAAAUCCUCCAAAACUCAUGAUGUUGGUCAACUGAGUUUAUCAAUGUCUUUGAGACAGGAUGUCACAUGAUCGACAUCACUAUAAAUGAAUCACAGAAGGUCCUCAACUUCUUUAUGGAAAAUGAAUUCCAGGCUGGAUUCUAAAAGUGACACGAAUGCUGGGACCGGGGUAUUGCUGUGUAAGGUGACUAUUUCAAAGGAGAUGAUGUUAAAACUUAGGAUGGAGAUGAGAAGCAAUGUUUCCAUGUGGCAGGGCUGAUAUUGUUGAGAGACUACUCUCUACCAUUAUUGGUAGCUUUGUUAACAACGAAGAAUAUUUAUCCACCAACGCGGUAUUGAGCCUUCAUUCACACUGUUCGAUAUUAGCGUGUGUGUUGAGGAAUGACAUCAGAAGAGACGCUAGGUAUUAUUAAAUUAAAAUCUUUAAACAAAAAUAUGAAACUUUCAAUGGUUAUACUUCAUGACUUGAAGUUUGAAGCUCAAACUUAUUUGAAUAUCGGACGGGAAAUCACAAUGAAAAUCUUAGCAACUUUUUUGUAAAUGGUUUGUUUUAUUAAUCUUGCUUUUUGGUAGGAAUAAAGCCAGAGCAAGGGGCAUAACUCGUUACAUAUUAAUGUUGGUUGUCAGGAAUAAGUUCCCUUGGGACUUUUGUUAAAGAAUUUCUGUAACGUGACCUCUGUGACUAUAUUUUAUGCUUUAAGGGUUCCAGUUCCCCAUUCGGGGCUUUAAUUAUGGCUGUGUGUGCUGUAUUCAUCGUAGAUGAAAAGUGACGGAGAUUGUUGUAGUGCACCUGAGCACUGUUUACAAUAAUUUCAUUAUUAUUAUAUCUAACAUAAAAAUUUUAGUCAUUCAUUAAAUUAUACUGUAAAUCCCAUUUAUUCAUUAGCAAAAAUGUUAAUGAAUUGGAAAUCAAAUAUAUUUUAAAUUGCAGAAAUAUCAGCCAUGACAGAAACUUUGGUAAAUUUUUAUAUUAACACCCGCACGAUUUUCACAAAGAAGAAAAAAAAAACUCGGAUUUUUUUGCGUGGAAUCAAGUACCUUGACCUCCUAAUAUGCUGCAAAUCCCUUAUAUUGGUUCUGGAAAAUGGUGAUUGACGAGGGGCCAUAUAUUUAAUGACGAACCAUGCAAUUCACAUUCUGGGAAUUUUAUUUCUGUAAAAUGUUUUGUUUUUUUCCUAAACACACAAGAUAUAAUCAUUAAAUUUAAGAUGUUUUUGAAAGACACUCGGGGGCACCAGUAUUUUCUUAACGAAACACUUUGAAACUUGGGACACUGGUAGAAUGUGUCAUAUAACACAUCUUUUUCUCUUAGUCUUCUUAACAAAAAAACGUACAUCGCAAGUUAUUUCAUGUUAAAGUUGUCGUAUUUCUGUAAUUUCAACCAAUGACUGACGUCCAUUCAGUCGAAUACAGUAAGUGCUGACUACGUAAACAAACGAUUCUGGCGGUGAUAAAAUUAUUAUUUCCUUGUCAAAAAAUGGCUGAAGCAUAUUGGCAGUAGCUAAUAAACCUUUCUAUUAUAGGCACAAGGCCUGGUUUUUGAGGGAAGGAGCAAGUCAAUUAUAUACGCUGUGCGUAUC
Molecule: long non-coding RNA, 1624 nt
Organism: Octopus bimaculoides (California two-spot octopus)
Lineage: Eukaryota; Metazoa; Mollusca; Cephalopoda; Octopoda; Octopodidae
Source: RefSeq, a predicted model, not a curated record